This is a non-coding RNA of Heliocybe sulcata, 82 nucleotides long. Lineage: Eukaryota; Fungi; Basidiomycota; Agaricomycetes; Gloeophyllales; Gloeophyllaceae. The record is from the annotation of a GenBank genome assembly.
UCGGAUAUGGUGUAAUGGUUAACAUUACCGCCUCUCAGUUAAUGGAACGCGGUAGCUCGGGGUUCGAUUCCCCGUAUCCGAA